RNAcentral lists this long non-coding RNA (269 nucleotides) under Elaeis guineensis (African oil palm). RNAcentral describes it as "long non-coding RNA (EGUI_LNC036718)". The record is from RNAcentral. Lineage: Eukaryota; Viridiplantae; Streptophyta; Magnoliopsida; Arecales; Arecaceae.
UGGAUGUGACAUUCUGAGAGUCCGAGGCAUUCUUUAGCAGUGAUCCUGUGGAUGUGCCCACUAAUCAACCUACUGUUGUAUCCGACUUUCUCUUCUCUUUCGAUAUUUUGUUUGAUUUCACCAGUUGUGAGUGGGAGUCAAAGGAGAUAGAGUCUGAGGAGCAGGAGUAGUCAAAUAGUAAUUCUGAUCGAUAGAGGGAGCAGCAGUCUUCUCUACAUGUUACAGAGCCUGUUCCAUGUGUUAUAGAGCCUGGUAUGUAUUCUCCUACU